This 253-nucleotide ribosomal RNA is filed under the name uncultured bacterium. Its description in RNAcentral is "partial 16S ribosomal RNA". It matches the Rfam family "Bacterial small subunit ribosomal RNA", at positions 524 to 776 of the family's 1533-position model. The record is from RNAcentral.
UACGAAGGGGGCUAGCGUUGUUCGGAAUCACUGGGCGUAAAGGGCGCGUAGGCGGCCGAUCAAGUCGGGGGUGAAAGCCUGUGGCUCAACCACAGAAUUGCCUUCGAUACUGUUUGGCUUGAGACCGGAAGAGGUUAGUGGAACUGCGAGUGUAGAGGUGAAAUUCGUAGAUAUUCGUAAGAACACCAGUGGCGAAGGCGGCUGACUGGUCCGGUUCUGACGCUGAGGCGCGAAAGCGUGGGGAGCAAACAGG